Molecule: small RNA, 3239 nt
Filed under: Pan troglodytes (chimpanzee)
Lineage: Eukaryota; Metazoa; Chordata; Mammalia; Primates; Hominidae
Description: retained intron
Source: RNAcentral
AACUCUAUGACAUUGGUCUUGCCAGUAAUUUCUUGGAUAUGACACCAAAAAGCACAGGCAACAAAAGCAAAAAUGGCCAAGUGGAACUGUGUUAAACUAACAGCUCCUGCACAGCAGAGGGAAACAUGAAAAGAGUGAAAAGGCAGCCUGUGGAAUGGGAGAAAACAUCUGGAGGCUAUUUCUGACAAGGGAUUGAUUUCCAAAAUACGUAAGGAACCCCUGCAACUCAAUAGCAAGAAAACUGGUGACGUGAAAAAUGGACCAAAGACUUGAAUAGACAUGUCUCCAAAGAAGACAUACAAAUAUCCAGCAGGUGUAUGGAAAUGUGCUUAACAUACUAACCAUCAAGGAAAGGCAAACAAAAACCACAGUGAGAUACCAUCUCCUAGCUGAUGGGACCACUGUUACCAGAAAGCCCCAAGAUAACAAGCGCUGGGGAGGGUGUGGGGAACCUGGAACCCUCGUGCACUGUUGGGGGGAUGCAAAAUGCCACAACCGUUACAGAAAACUGGAGGCCUCAAAACAUGAAAAACAGAAUCACCAUAUGAUCUAGCAGUUCCACUUACAGGUCUUGAUUCAAAAGAAUCAAAAUGGGUAUUUUGAAGAGAGACCUGUACUCCUAGUGUUCCUUGCAGCACUGUUCACAAUAGCCAAGUGAACAGAUAAAGAAAAUGAAGUGUAUACCUGCAGUAGGAUGCUGUGCAUGCAGCCUGAAGGAAGGAAAUCCUGCCAUUCGUGACAACGUGGGUGACCAUGAAGGAGAUUAUGCAAAAUGAAAUAAGCCAGACACAGAAAGAAACUGCAUGGUUCCACUUAAAUGUGAUAUCCAGCAUAGACCCACAGAAGUAAAGGGUGGAAUGGCGGUCAUCAGGGGAUUGGGGGAGAGGGAAAUGGGGAGCUACUUAAUCAAUGGGAUGAAAUUUCAUUAAACAAGAUGAGAAUGUUCUAGAGAUAUGCCGUACUACAUGGUACCUGUAGUCAACAAUAAUGUAGACUUAGAAAUGUGUUAAGCGGUGGCUCUCAUGUUAACUCUUCUUACCACAAUAAAAUAAGCACUUAGACCUUGGCCCUCGUUCAAGGCAUCCUCCGGAGGUGAGGCAGGGGCUCUUGUAAGUGGCACCACUGGCCUUGCCGGACCCCAGCCUAAGCCCUUCCCUGCUUCCCCAUUUCCUUUUGGUUGAAUCCAGAAAAAACCUGGUCCCAUCUGGCUUCACUUCCUGCCACCCGGUGCUAGCGCCCUGGCCUCUCCGUUGUUGAGAACUGAUUGCCAUCGGCCUUUGCACAGGGCCAGUGCAUGUGGCUCUUGGUGCAAGUGGCACCCCUGGCAUUGUGCAGUUCCUGGUGUGCCACACAGUAGACCCUGUGCUGACGACCAGCCAUGGCCUUUUCUGUCAUCUAAGAACUUAUAGAUGUUUGUCAGUUUGCUUUACUUUUUUUCUUUGUACUCACAAAAGUAAUGGUCUGGCAGUUUUUUAAAAGGCAGGGGAGCAAACAGUACAGGAAUGAAAGAAGAGGCCGUUUUCCUUUGUACUUAGGAAACGUGCAUCCCCAGCAGCUGUCACAAUGCCAGAGGCUGCUUCUUCCUUCGUCUUGCCUGGCCCCUGCCUGGGUCCUGCCAGGCUUCCCCUGAACUCACACGGAAGCUCAGAUGACCAGCUUAGGCAGGGUGGAUGGCCUUCCAAGCUUUGGCCAGGUUACCACGACUGGAAGGAGGAAGUGGUAACUCCAAAGUUGGCUUCUCCUCGGGGUGGUCGGCUUUUCUGCCCAGGAGGCUGGGUAGUGGAAUUUCUGGGUUCUUCUGUGGAAUAGAGACCCGCCCUUGGGCCCUCAAACUCAACACUGGGCGAAGUGCAGCGUGUUGCUUGUGUGUAGCAUGGCCACUGCACCCACCGUCCCCUUCACCCUGUUUCCCUGUGAGACGGGUGUGGCAGAGCCUGCAUCCCUCCUCCAGCUGGGGAGGCAGAAGUGCAGAAGCUUCGGGUGACCUCCUGAGGGGUGUCUGCCUAGCCAGGGACGUCUCCAUUCCCCACGGGCAGGGCCGCUGUCUGCCUCGCAGCCCAUGGGGCUCUGCUGGCGUGAACGCGGCCUUGCAGGGUGGCAGAGGGAGAGCGAGCAGCGGGGGCAGGGGAGGAGCACAGGGUAUGCAGUUCGGUCAUAAACUCACUGCUUAGAUGGAGUUACUAAGGAGUUAGAAAGCAAUGCUUACUGCUGUAUCAUAUUUGAGUGAUUUUUUCUGGUUCUUCUAAAACCUAAACAUGGGGUAAAAAUGACUUACCUUCACGUUAGUCAUGAAAUCUUAUGCUGUGAUUAUGUCUCUUUUUUAUUUUAACUGUAGCAUCGGUGUGUGGCUAUUUUUAAAGACAAACAGAACAAGCCUACUGGUUUUGCCCUGGGAAGUAUCGAGGGGAGAGUUGCUAUUCACUAUAUCAACCCCCCGAACCCGUAAGUGUGACUCUGUCAGCUUGCAGAUUUCACUGGACUUUUUUUUAACAAAGGAAGACUUACAUGAACCUUUGUCUUUCAGCGCCAAAGAUAACUUCACCUUUAAAUGUCAUCGAUCUAAUGGAACCAACACUUCAGCUCCUCAGGACAUUUACGCGGUGAAUGGAAUCGCGUUCCAUCCUGUUCAUGGCACCCUUGCAACUGUGGGAUCUGAUGGUAGAUUCAGCUUCUGGGACAAAGAUGCCAGAACAAAACUAAAAACUUCGGAACAGUUAGAUCAGCCCAUCUCAGCUUGCUGUUUCAAUCACAAUGGAAACAUAUUUGCGUACGCUUCCAGCUACGACUGGUCAAAGGGACAUGAAUUUUAUAAUCCCCAGAAAAAAAAUUACAUUUUCCUGCGUAAUGCAGCCGAAGAGCUAAAGCCCAGGAAUAAGAAGUAGUGGCUGGAGACUCUGGCUCAGCCAGAGUUGUUUCUCUCCACUCUGCCUCAUCUCUGUACGAAUUUGGGUCCCAGCCUUGUUGGGUUGUCAGCCAUGGACAUGGAUUUCAACCCCUGGAGAAAAUGAUGUCAUUGUUCAGCAGCUGAGAGCCCAGGCGUCCGCGGCGACUUGCCGUCUCUCCAUUCCACUGCCUGUUGCAGAGUUUUUCUGUAACUAAGGGGGUUGAGGUUAUUGUAGAUUGCGGGCACCGCCAGGGAUUUUGCAGCGCUUCAGUGUACGUGUUAGAGAAUAUUGGAAAAGCGUCUGUGAGCCCCGUGCUGUAUUUUGUAAUAAAGUCUUUUGCAGAUUGCUUUCCGA